This 1193-nucleotide ribosomal RNA is filed under the name Klebsiella pneumoniae. Its description in RNAcentral is "bacterial SSU rRNA". It matches the Rfam family "Bacterial small subunit ribosomal RNA", at positions 1 to 1182 of the family's 1533-position model. Lineage: Bacteria; Pseudomonadati; Pseudomonadota; Gammaproteobacteria; Enterobacterales; Enterobacteriaceae. The record is from RNAcentral.
ACUUAAAUUGAAGAGUUUGAUCAUGGCUCAGAUUGAACGCUGGCGGCAGGCCUAACACAUGCAAGUCGAGCGGUAGCACAGAGAGCUUGCUCUCGGGUGACGAGCGGCGGACGGGUGAGUAAUGUCUGGGAAACUGCCUGAUGGAGGGGGAUAACUACUGGAAACGGUAGCUAAUACCGCAUAACGUCGCAAGACCAAAGUGGGGGACCUUCGGGCCUCAUGCCAUCAGAUGUGCCCAGAUGGGAUUAGCUAGUAGGUGGGGUAACGGCUCACCUAGGCGACGAUCCCUAGCUGGUCUGAGAGGAUGACCAGCCACACUGGAACUGAGACACGGUCCAGACUCCUACGGGAGGCAGCAGUGGGGAAUAUUGCACAAUGGGCGCAAGCCUGAUGCAGCCAUGCCGCGUGUGUGAAGAAGGCCUUCGGGUUGUAAAGCACUUUCAGCGGGGAGGAAGGCGAUAAGGUUAAUAACCUUGUCGAUUGACGUUACCCGCAGAAGAAGCACCGGCUAACUCCGUGCCAGCAGCCGCGGUAAUACGGAGGGUGCAAGCGUUAAUCGGAAUUACUGGGCGUAAAGCGCACGCAGGCGGUCUGUCAAGUCGGAUGUGAAAUCCCCGGGCUCAACCUGGGAACUGCAUUCGAAACUGGCAGGCUAGAGUCUUGUAGAGGGGGGUAGAAUUCCAGGUGUAGCGGUGAAAUGCGUAGAGAUCUGGAGGAAUACCGGUGGCGAAGGCGGCCCCCUGGACAAAGACUGACGCUCAGGUGCGAAAGCGUGGGGAGCAAACAGGAUUAGAUACCCUGGUAGUCCACGCCGUAAACGAUGUCGAUUUGGAGGUUGUGCCCUUGAGGCGUGGCUUCCGGAGCUAACGCGUUAAAUCGACCGCCUGGGGAGUACGGCCGCAAGGUUAAAACUCAAAUGAAUUGACGGGGGCCCGCACAAGCGGUGGAGCAUGUGGUUUAAUUCGAUGCAACGCGAAGAACCUUACCUGGUCUUGACAUCCACAGAACUUUCCAGAGAUGGAUUGGUGCCUUCGGGAACUGUGAGACAGGUGCUGCAUGGCUGUCGUCAGCUCGUGUUGUGAAAUGUUGGGUUAAGUCCCGCAACGAGCGCAACCCUUAUCCUUUGUUGCCAGCGGUUCGGCCGGGAACUCAAAGGAGACUGCCAGUGAUAAACUGGAGGAAGGUGGGGAUGA